RNAcentral lists this ribosomal RNA (497 nucleotides) under uncultured bacterium. RNAcentral's name for it is "partial 16S ribosomal RNA". It matches the Rfam family "Bacterial small subunit ribosomal RNA", at positions 28 to 507 of the family's 1533-position model. The record is from RNAcentral.
GACGAACGCUGGCGGCGUGCCUAAUACAUGCAAGUUGAGCGCUGAAGGUUGGUACUUGUACCAACUGGAUGAGCAGCGAACGGGUGAGUAACGCGUGGGGAAUCUGCCUUUGAGCGGGGGACAACAUUUGGAAACGAAUGCUAAUACCGCAUAAAAACUUUAAACACAAGUUUUAAGUUUGAAAGAUGCAAUUGCAUCACUCAAAGAUGAUCCCGCGUUGUAUUAGCUAGUUGGUGAGGUAAAGGCUCACCAAGGCGAUGAUACAUAGCCGACCUGAGAGGGUGAUCGGCCACAUUGGGACUGAGACACGGCCCAAACUCCUACGGGAGGCAGCGGUAGGGAAUCUUCGGCAAUGGACGAAAGUCUGACCGAGCAACGCCGCGUGAGUGAAGAAGGGUUUCGGAUCGUAAAACUCUGUUGGUAGAGAAGAACGUUGGUGAGAGUGGAAAGCUCAUCAAGUGACGGUAACUACCCAGAAAGGGACGGCUAACUACGUG